GGGAGCCGGAUGCGGUAGUUCCGCAAGUCCGGUUCUGAGGAGGGGCCCGUCUAGGUAACUGGCGGGUCUACUCAAC
This 76-nucleotide non-coding RNA is filed under the name Serratia symbiotica SCt-VLC. The record is from RNAcentral. Lineage: Bacteria; Pseudomonadati; Pseudomonadota; Gammaproteobacteria; Enterobacterales; Yersiniaceae.